GAGGAAAGUCCGGGCUCCAUAGGGCAGGGUGCCAGGUAACGCCUGGGGGGGAAACCCACGACCAGUGCAACAGAGAGCAAACCGCCGAUGGCCCACGCAAGUGGGAUCAGGUAAGGGUGAAAGGGUGCGGUAAGAGCGCACCGCGCGGCUGGUAACAGUCCGUGGCACGGUAAACUCCACCCGGAGCAAGGCCAAAUAGGGGUUCACAUGGUACGGCCCGUACUGAACCCGGGUAGGCUGCUUGAGCCAGUGAGUGAUUGCUGGCCUAGAUGAAUGACUGUCCACGACAGAACCCGGCUUA
This 301-nucleotide RNase P RNA is filed under the name Citrobacter youngae ATCC 29220. RNAcentral describes it as "RNA component of RNase P". It matches the Rfam family "Bacterial RNase P class A", at positions 43 to 351 of the family's 367-position model. Rfam says of the family: Ribonuclease P (RNase P) is a ubiquitous endoribonuclease, found in archaea, bacteria and eukarya as well as chloroplasts and mitochondria. Its best characterised activity is the generation of mature 5'-ends of tRNAs by cleaving the 5'-leader elements of precursor-tRNAs. The record is from RNAcentral. Lineage: Bacteria; Pseudomonadati; Pseudomonadota; Gammaproteobacteria; Enterobacterales; Enterobacteriaceae.